UAGAAUGGAUUGACCUGAUGUGCUGAAAACCUUUCUCGUGAGCUUUAUCCUCUUUUUGUUUAAAGGAAAAACCCCAUCUCUGGGUUUGUGUUUAUCUAGACCAUGAUCACCAGACUAAAGAGCAGCUGACCUAUGUUUAUGUGGAAAAUAUUUAAUACAAAUUAAUUAUUUAAAGAAGGAAUUUGAACCGAAAGGAGACACCCCCCACAAAACCAAUUUUCCGUGGCAGUGCGACCAGCUAAUGAGCCCUUCAGUGCUGCUAUUGUGUCCCUCUAGGUCAAGGUGAUUCUGGAAGAGUGGAUUUGGCAGCAGAGAAAGGUCUGAGAUUACAGAAGGAGAGAGUGAGUGAAGCUCCAGCAGCAGAUCCAACUCGAGCCAACUCAUCAGCGAUUAGCUUUGAGUCUCAGCUUGUUUUUAUUUUUAUGUAUUUAUUUUUCCUGC
This is a long non-coding RNA of Malaclemys terrapin pileata, 441 nucleotides long. RefSeq lists it as uncharacterized. The transcript is spliced from 3 exons. Lineage: Eukaryota; Metazoa; Chordata; Testudines; Emydidae. The record is from RefSeq and is a predicted model, not a curated record.